GCUCCCAUAGCUUAAUAACAAAGCAUGGCACUGAAGCUGCCAAGAUGGUCGUUUGCACCACACCUGGGGGCA
This 72-nucleotide transfer RNA is filed under the name Vanellus vanellus. RNAcentral's name for it is "tRNA-Phe". It matches the Rfam family "tRNA". Rfam says of the family: Transfer RNA (tRNA) molecules are approximately 80 nucleotides in length. Lineage: Eukaryota; Metazoa; Chordata; Aves; Charadriiformes; Charadriidae. The record is from RNAcentral.